Molecule: long non-coding RNA, 606 nt
Filed under: Equus asinus (donkey)
Lineage: Eukaryota; Metazoa; Chordata; Mammalia; Perissodactyla; Equidae
Description: lncRNA (ENSEASG00005037580.1, ENSEASG00020032082.1)
Source: RNAcentral
GGGAUUUUUAGUGGCUUCAAUGUGAGAAACUCUUCCCCAGGUCCCUCCAAAUGGGAGUUUAUAGGAUGGCAGUCCGUUUCUUAGAGAAGUUCCUCAGGGGACUGGGUGUUUCUCACUCAGCUUCGUUCUUGCGUCAGCUGCUCUGACAGAGCGUUUUUGGCUCCUCUAAGGAGAAAAAGGAAAAGCAGCAGCAGCAGCUUGCCAAUUUCAAAGAAAGAAAUGGAGAUUCCCAGGUGGCAGAAAGGAAGACAGACUUCAUCCUGAAGCCCCAAGGUUUUGGACCCUUGUCUCAGUGGCAGAGCGUGGGACUCAGGACUAACCACUCGGCACACGGUGGCCACAGUGACUGGCUCAGGCCUAGGCAGGUGACAGAGUCAGAGCCAGUGAGAUGCGCCAAGUCUUUCCUUGGAAAUGCUGGGACAAGGAUGACUCAGCUGUAUUUCUCAGGGUCAGAUGAAGAAAGUGUGUGAGACCUGGAGCUGCCACAGUCAUGUCAUGACCCCAAGGCCCGUGGGAGAGUGCAGUCAGCAUGAAGAGGUGCGCAGCUGAGAGCUGGAGAGGAUGCAGGAGGGCAAGGGCUUUUCAGUUAUGUGACCAAUAAAUCCU